Molecule: ribosomal RNA, 253 nt
Filed under: uncultured bacterium
Lineage: Bacteria
Description: partial 16S ribosomal RNA
Rfam family: Bacterial small subunit ribosomal RNA
Source: RNAcentral
GACGUAGGGUGCGAGCGUUGUCCGGAUUUACUGGGCGUAAAGAGCGCGUAGGCGGCCUGUCAAGUCAACUGUGAAAUCUCCGGGCUUAACUCGGAACGGUCAGUUGAUACUGUCAGGCUAGAGUGCAGAAGGGGCAAUCGGAAUUCUUGGUGUAGCGGUGAAAUGCGUAGAUAUCAAGAGGAACACCUGAGGUGAAGACGGGUUGCUGGGCUGACACUGACGCUGAGGCGCGAAAGCCAGGGGAGCAAACGGG